This 492-nucleotide ribosomal RNA is filed under the name uncultured bacterium. Its description in RNAcentral is "partial 16S ribosomal RNA". It matches the Rfam family "Bacterial small subunit ribosomal RNA", at positions 29 to 507 of the family's 1533-position model. The record is from RNAcentral.
AGUGAACGCUGGCGGUAGGCCUAACACAUGCAAGUCGAACGGCAGCACAGUAAGAGCUUGCUCUUACGGGUGGCGAGUGGCGGACGGGUGAGGAAUACAUCGGAAUCUACUUUUUCGUGGGGGAUAACGUAGGGAAACUUACGCUAAUACCGCAUACGACCUACGGGUGAAAGCAGGGGAUCUUCGGACCUUGCGCGAUUGAAUGAGCCGGAGUCGGAUUAGCUAGUUGGCGGGGUAAAGGCCCACCAAGGCGACGAUCCGUAGCUGGUCUGAGAGGAUGAGCGGACAAACGGGAACUGAGACACGGUCCAGACUCCUACGGGAGGCAGCAGUAGGGAAUGUUCAGCAAUGGGCGAAAGACUGACGGAGCAAUGCCGCGGGAGUGAUGAAGGGCUUCGGAUCGUAGAACUCUGUUAUUAGGGAAGAAAAAAUGCGUAAGUAACUAUGCACGUCGUGACGGUUGAUAAUGAGAAAGACACGGCUAACUACGUG